Molecule: ribosomal RNA, 558 nt
Filed under: uncultured bacterium
Lineage: Bacteria
Description: bacterial SSU rRNA
Rfam family: Bacterial small subunit ribosomal RNA
Source: RNAcentral
UUGGANUGGGGGAACCCUGAUCCAGCCAUUCCGCGUGAGUGAAGAAGGCCUUCGGGUUGUAAAGCUCUUUUGUCCGGAACGAAACGGUUACGGCUAAUACCUGUGACUACUGACGGUACCGGAAGAAUAAGCACCGGCUAACUACGUGCCAGCAGCCGCGGUAAUACGUAGGGUGCGAGCGUUAAUCGGAAUUACUGGGCGUAAAGCGUGCGCAGGCGGUUUUGUAAGCCAGAUGUGAAAUCCCCGGGCUUAACCUGGGAAUGGCAUUUGGGACUGCAAGGCUUGAGUGCGGCAGAGGAGACUGGAAUUCCUGGUGUAGCAGUGAAAUGCGUAGAUAUCAGGAGGGACACCGAUGGCGAAGGCAGGUCUCUGGGCUGACACUGACGCUCAUGCACGAAAGCGUGGGGAGCAAACAGGAUUAGAUACCCUGGUAGUCCACGCCCUAAACGAUGUCGACUGGUUGUUGGGGGUUUGACACUCUCAGUAACGAAGCUAACGCGUGAAGUCGACCGCCUGGGGAGUACGGCCGCAAGGUUAAAACUCAAAGAAAUUGACGGA